This 388-nucleotide unclassified non-coding RNA is filed under the name fungal sp. RNAcentral describes it as "partial internal transcribed spacer region". The stretch from base 1 to 46 matches the Rfam family "Eukaryotic small subunit ribosomal RNA", at positions 1786 to 1831 of the family's 1831-position model. Lineage: Eukaryota; Fungi. The record is from RNAcentral.
AAGUCGUAACAAGGUAACCGUAGGUGAACCUGCGGUUGGAUCAUUAUUGAAAUUAUAAUCCAAUCUUUUUUUCUCAUAACUUCUGUUAAAAGAAGGCUAUGAGAUUGAAGGAAACAUCAUGUGAACUUGUUUAAUUGUCUCUGGUGGGUUAAAACGAUAAAGUAGUUUGAAAAAAUUACUUUACCCGGAAUGUGUGUGGCUUGGUGUUUGUGGGUAAAUUAUAUUUAUCCAUUCCCACCCCUCCACCCCCAUUUACCCACUAUUUUUUUGUAUAUCAAAACCUGUUCUGUUUAACCUGGACCGAAUUUUUAAAAUGUUUUUUUCCUUGAAAAGAAAAUAACAAAUCUAAAAAAAAAAACAACUUUUGACAACGGAUCUCUAGGCUCUC